UCCCUAGUGGCUCAGAUGGUAAAGUAUCUGCCUGCAAUGCAGGAGAUCUGGGCUUGAUCCCUAGGUUGGGAA
Molecule: transfer RNA, 72 nt
Filed under: Ovis aries (sheep)
Lineage: Eukaryota; Metazoa; Chordata; Mammalia; Artiodactyla; Bovidae
Rfam family: tRNA
About the family: Transfer RNA (tRNA) molecules are approximately 80 nucleotides in length. Their secondary structure includes four short double-helical elements and three loops (D, anti-codon, and T loops). Further hydrogen bonds mediate the characteristic L-shaped molecular structure. tRNAs have two regions of fundamental functional importance: the anti-codon, which is responsible for specific mRNA codon recognition, and the 3' end, to which the tRNAs corresponding amino acid is attached (by aminoacyl-tRNA synthetases). tRNAs cope with the degeneracy of the genetic code in two manners: having more than one tRNA (with a specific anti-codon) for a particular amino acid; and 'wobble' base-pairing, i.e. permitting non-standard base-pairing at the 3rd anti-codon position.
Source: Rfam by way of RNAcentral